This 1438-nucleotide ribosomal RNA is filed under the name uncultured organism. RNAcentral's name for it is "SSU rRNA". It matches the Rfam family "Bacterial small subunit ribosomal RNA". The record is from RNAcentral.
CUACAGGCUUAACACAUGCAAGUCGAGGGGCAGCAUGGUCUUAGCUUGCUAAGGCCGAUGGCGACCGGCGCACGGGUGAGUAACACGUAUCCAACCUGCCGUCUACUCUUGGACAGCCUUCUGAAAGGAAGAUUAAUACAAGAUGGCAUCAUGAGUCCGCAUGUUCACAUGAUUAAAGGUAUUCCGGUAGACGAUGGGGAUGCGUUCCAUUAGAUAGUAGGCGGGGUAACGGCCCACCUAGUCUUCGAUGGAUAGGGGUUCUGAGAGGAAGGUCCCCCACAUUGGAACUGAGACACGGUCCAAACUCCUACGGGAGGCAGCAGUGAGGAAUAUUGGUCAAUGGGCGAGAGCCUGAACCAGCCAAGUAGCGUGAAGGAUGACUGCCCUAUGGGUUGUAAACUUCUUUUAUAAAGGAAUAAAGUCGGGUAUGGAUACCCGUUUGCAUGUACUUUAUGAAUAAGGAUCGGCUAACUCCGUGCCAGCAGCCGCGGUAAUACGGAGGAUCCGAGCGUUAUCCGGAUUUAUUGGGUUUAAAGGGAGCGUAGAUGGAUGUUUAAGUCAGUUGUGAAAGUUUGCGGCUCAACCGUAAAAUUGCAGUUGAUACUGGAUAUCUUGAGUGCAGUUGAGGCAGGCGGAAUUCGUGGUGUAGCGGUGAAAUGCUUAGAUAUCACGAAGAACUCCGAUUGCGAAGGCAGCCUGCUAAGCUGCAACUGACAUUGAGGCUCGAAAGUGUGGGUAUCAAACAGGAUUAGAUACCCUGGUAGUCCACACGGUAAACGAUGAAUACUCGCUGUUUGCGAUAUACAGCAAGCGGCCAAGCGAAAGCGUUAAGUAUUCCACCUGGGGAGUACGCCGGCAACGGUGAAACUCAAAGGAAUUGACGGGGGCCCGCACAAGCGGAGGAACAUGUGGUUUAAUUCGAUGAUACGCGAGGAACCUUACCCGGGCUUAAAUUGCAGAUGAAUUACGGUGAAAGCCGUAAGCCGCAAGGCAUCUGUGAAGGUGCUGCAUGGUUGUCGUCAGCUCGUGCCGUGAGGUGUCGGCUUAAGUGCCAUAACGAGCGCAACCCUUGUUGUCAGUUACUAACAGGUUCCGCUGAGGACUCUGACAAGACUGCCAUCGUAAGAUGUGAGGAAGGUGGGGAUGACGUCAAAUCAGCACGGCCCUUACGUCCGGGGCUACACACGUGUUACAAUGGGGGGUACAGAGGGCCGCUACCACGCGAGUGGAUGCCAAUCCCCAAAACCUCUCUCAGUUCGGACUGGAGUCUGCAACCCGACUCCACGAAGCUGGAUUCGCUAGUAAUCGCGCAUCAGCCACGGCGCGGUGAAUACGUUCCCGGGCCUUGUACACACCGCCCGUCAAGCCAUGGGAGCCGGGGGUACCUGAAGUGCGUAACCGCGAGGAGCGCCCUAGGGUAAAACUGGUGACUGGGGCU